GAUGAACGCUAGCGGCAGGCUUAACACAUGCAAGUCGAGGGGUAGGGUAGCAAUACCUGAGACCGGCGCACGGGUGCGUAACGCGUAUGCAAUCUACCUUGUACAGGGGAAUAGCCCAGAGAAAUUUGGAUUAAUGCCCCAUAGUAUAUAACCUUCGCAUGUUGGUUAUAUUAAAGUUCCAACGGUACAAGAUGAGCAUGCGUCCCAUUAGUUAGUUGGUAAGGUAACGGCUUACCAAGACGAUGAUGGGUAGGGGUCCUGAGAGGGAGAUCCCCCACACUGGUACUGAGACACGGACCAGACUCCUACGGGAGGCAGCAGUGAGGAAUAUUGGUCAAUGGUCGCAAGACUGAACCAGCCAUGCCGCGUGCAGGAAGACGGUCCUAAUGGAUUGUAAACUGCUUUUAUACAGGAAGAAACCCUCCCACGUGUGGGAGCUUGACGGUACUGUAGGAAUAAGGAUCGGCUAACUCCGUGC
RNAcentral lists this ribosomal RNA (478 nucleotides) under uncultured bacterium. RNAcentral describes it as "bacterial SSU rRNA". It matches the Rfam family "Bacterial small subunit ribosomal RNA", at positions 28 to 508 of the family's 1533-position model. The record is from RNAcentral.